Unclassified non-coding RNA from Erinaceus europaeus (western European hedgehog), 326 nucleotides. Its record names the gene 7SK. It matches the Rfam family "7SK RNA". Rfam says of the family: 7SK was discovered as an abundant small nuclear RNA in the mid-70s but a possible function has only recently been suggested. Two independent studies have found that 7SK RNA binds the CDK9/cyclin T complex (known as elongation factor P-TEFb). The record is from Ensembl. Lineage: Eukaryota; Metazoa; Chordata; Mammalia; Eulipotyphla; Erinaceidae.
GGAUGUGAGGGCGAUCUGACUGUGACAUCUGUCACCCCAUUGAUCGCCAGGAUUAAUUCGGCUGAUCUGGCUGGCUAGGCGGGUGUCCCCUUCCUCCCUCACCUCUCCAUGUGCAUCUCUCCCGAAGCUGUGUGCUUGGUCGAAGAGGAUGGCCUUCCCAGAAUAGAGACGACCAGUCUUCAGUCAAGGGUAUAGGAGUAGCUGUGCUCUCCUGCUAGAACCUCCAAACAAGCUUUCAAAUAUGGGAAAAGAAUAUAAUUAUUGUUAGCUAUAAGCCUGCAAUGAUUAGCCCAUAAUCAUUGCAGGAGCCUGUGUAACCUCUGUAU